AUACGGAGGGUGCAAGCGUUAAUCGGAAUUACUGGGCGUAAAGCGCGCGUAGGCGGUUUAGUCAGUCAGAUGUGAAAGCCCCGGGCUCAACCUGGGAACUGCAUUUGAUACUGCUGAACUAGAGUAUGGUAGAGGGGAGUGGAAUUCCGGGUGUAGCGGUGAAAUGCGUAGAUAUCCGGAGGAACACCAGUGGCGAAGGCGACUUCCUGGACCAAUACUGACGCUGAGGUGCGAAAGCGUGGGUAGCAAACAGGAUUAGAAACCCCAGUAGUCC
This 274-nucleotide ribosomal RNA is filed under the name uncultured bacterium. RNAcentral's name for it is "partial 16S ribosomal RNA". It matches the Rfam family "Bacterial small subunit ribosomal RNA", at positions 523 to 796 of the family's 1533-position model. The record is from RNAcentral.